This 454-nucleotide ribosomal RNA is filed under the name uncultured eukaryote. RNAcentral describes it as "bacterial SSU rRNA". It matches the Rfam family "Eukaryotic small subunit ribosomal RNA", at positions 168 to 601 of the family's 1831-position model. The record is from RNAcentral.
UACGUGCGAAGCGCCGAAGCCGCGAGGCGACGGCGUUCUCGCCGGAUGUAGGAACCGACCCGGGGACCGCCGGGGCAACCCGGCGCCCCCGAGACGGGGCGAACCACGGUGAAAUGACGGAUCGUCGGCCCCGCGCCGGCGACUCGCCGAAUGAGUUUCUGACCUAUCAACUCGAGACGGCGGGGUAGAGGCCCGCCGCGGUAACGACGGGUAACGGGGAAUCAGGGUUCGAUUCCGGAGAGGGAGCCCCGAGAAACGGCUACCACUUCCAAGGAAGGCAGCAGGCGCGCAACUUACCCUAAUCUCGAUUCGAGGAGGUAGUGACAAGAAAUACCGAUGCGGGACCCUACGGGUGCCGCGUUCGGAAUGAGUACGAUUCGAACCACCUAACGAGGAACGAUCGGAGGGCAAGUCUGGUGCCAGCAGCCGCGGUAAUUCCAGCUCCAAUAGCGUA